RNAcentral lists this ribosomal RNA (463 nucleotides) under uncultured bacterium. Its description in RNAcentral is "bacterial SSU rRNA". It matches the Rfam family "Bacterial small subunit ribosomal RNA", at positions 29 to 486 of the family's 1533-position model. The record is from RNAcentral.
AAUGAACGCUGGCGGCGCGCCUAAUACAUGCAAGUCGAGCGAGAAGACGUAGCAAUACGUUUGUAAAGCGGCGAACGGGUGAGGAAUACAUGGGUAACCUACCCUAGAGUGGGGAAUAACUAGCCGAAAGGUUAGCUAAUACCGCGUACGCUCCUUGGACUUCGGUUCAGGGAGGAAAGCGAUGCCGAGGGUAUCGCGCUCUUGGAUGGGCUCAUGUCCUAUCAGCUUGUUGGGAGGUAACGGCUCACCAAGGCUUCGACGGGUAGCUGGUCUGAGAGGACGAUCAGCCACACUGGCACUGCGACACGGGCCAGACUCCUACGGGAGGCAGCAGUAAGGAAUAUUGCGCAAUGGGCGAAAGCCUGACGCAGCGACGCCGCGUGGGGGAUGAAGGUCUUCGGAUUGUAAACCCCUUUCGGGAGGGAAGAUGGAACGAGCAAUCGUUCGGACGGUACCUCCAGAA